Long non-coding RNA from Bos taurus (domestic cattle), 554 nucleotides. The record is from Ensembl. Lineage: Eukaryota; Metazoa; Chordata; Mammalia; Artiodactyla; Bovidae.
AGUGCUCUGGAAGGGAAGGGAAGGACCUCUGUGAGCAGCCCUCAAUGGGAGCCCCAGAGGUACUGGCUGGGAGGCAGGACCACACCCUCAAUUCACUCAUUAGAGUCUGUGCCUUGGUCCUUUGCUCUUGGUGGAGUGGGCCCCUGGGGCAGCUACCCUGGCUUGAAGAAAACCUCCAUUCCCCUUGUGCUAAGUUGCUUCAGUGUGUCUGACUCUUUGCGACCUCAUAGACUGUAGCCUGCCAGGCUCCUUUGUCCAUGGGAUUCUCCAGCCCAGACUCCCGCGUGCAGGUGUGUCGCACUACUCUGGGGGCAACCACUCACAUCCUAGUCUAAGAGGACGGCGCCUGGUGAAAUGACCGAGCUGUGGACUCAGACCUGGGUUACACUCUCGGCUCGGCCAUCAUCUGACUGUGUGGCCUCAAGGAAGUCGCUCAUCUUCUCUGACCUUCACUUUACUCAUCUGUAAAAUGAAGCUAUUGAUAGAAACGUAGCAUCAUGUUUUUUGAGAAUUCAGUAGAUCAUCCAGGCAGAGCACCUGGCGCUCAGUAAACA